Molecule: non-coding RNA, 717 nt
Organism: Pelobates cultripes (western spadefoot toad)
Lineage: Eukaryota; Metazoa; Chordata; Amphibia; Anura; Pelobatidae
Source: the annotation of a GenBank genome assembly
AGGAAAUCUUAAAACACAAAGACAAAGAUGGCAUACUGAUCAAGACAAUAACUUGAUGGAAUCCUGGACUUCUUUGCUAAAAUUUAAUCAAUUUCAUCGUGGUAGAAUUUCUAACUUGAAUUUUGAAGGUGAUAUUUUUGAUGAGUUUUUACUGCAACAAAAGAUUGGAAAGCUAUGUGAUACUGCCGUAAAAAAUUGUGCACAGGAUAUAUCCAAGGUGGAAGAUUCAAACACAGUGGAAACUGAAAGAGAUGAUAGAAAUGAUUUUGAAAUACCAAUCUUGCCAUAUGGACAACAUCUGUGCAUUCAAAUUGCAACUACGUGGGGAGAUAGGCAUUAUGUUGGUCUUAAUGGAAUUGAAAUCUAUUCUUCUAAUGGUAAUCCUGUUAAGAUAGCGAAGAUCACAGCCGAUCCCCCAGAUAUUAAUAUAUUACCAGCAUAUGGUAAAGAUCCAAGAGUUGUAACAAAUUUAAUUGAUGGCGUAAAUAGGACACAGGAUGACAUGCAUCUUUGGCUGACACCAUUUACUCCGGGAAAACGUCACUUUAUUUUUAUGGAUUUUUUACAACCAUGUAACGUUGCAAUGAUUAGGAUUUGGAAUUACAAUAAGUCAAGAAUUCAUUCAUACCGUGGCAUAAAAGACAUUGAAAUCACUUUAGAUAAUUAUAAAAUCUUUAAAGGUGAAAUUGCUAAAGCUUCAGGAACACUAUCUGGAGG